CUGAUGGGAGUAGGGCAGCCAAGGAGCCCUGACCCUGCGACCCAAAGCAUGGCUCCCUCGUCGAAAUAAAAGCAAACAACGUGCAAGUCUCACUAGCAAUUACUGUAUCAUUACGAUCUUCCAUGAAGGGUGGUCAGCGAGAGGGACGCAAUGACAAGAGCCAAGAGCACGAGGUUGUCUCAGUCAUGAGACAUCACCGUGGCCUGAACGGGACCUGAAUCAGCGGGGUCAUAGCUGGAACAGGAGAAUUUCCCUGGUCAGAUGAGGCAGGACCCGUCUUUAUUAAGAACACAUGACAUGGCUGAGCACAGAAAAGAUUUCAGAUCUCUGGAGACCAGAAGGACCACCUCUUCAGGGGGAAUAGGGCCUUGGGAGGAACUUCGGAGCGGUCUCCACGGACUCGGCGCUAUGAAAGUAUUUCUCCUCCUCAUCUUCGUCGUCCUCUUCAUCUCUCACACAAUGCCAG
This is a long non-coding RNA of Ailuropoda melanoleuca (giant panda), 466 nucleotides long. RefSeq lists it as uncharacterized. The transcript has 3 exons. The record is from RefSeq and is a predicted model, not a curated record. NCBI's taxonomy places the organism in Eukaryota, Metazoa, Chordata, Mammalia, Carnivora, Ursidae.